RNAcentral lists this ribosomal RNA (497 nucleotides) under uncultured bacterium. RNAcentral describes it as "partial 16S ribosomal RNA". It matches the Rfam family "Bacterial small subunit ribosomal RNA", at positions 28 to 507 of the family's 1533-position model. The record is from RNAcentral.
GAUGAACGCUGGCGGCGUGCCUAAUACAUGCAAGUCGAGCGAACGGACGAGAAGCUUGCUUCUCUGAUGUUAGCGGCGGACGGGUGAGUAACACGUGGAUAACCUACCUAUAAGACUGGGAUAACUUCGGGAAACCGGAGCUAAUACCGGAUAAUAUUUUGAACCGCAUGGUUCAAAAGUGAAAGACGGUCUUGCUGUCACUUAUAGAUGGAUCCGCGCUGCAUUAGCUAGUUGGUAAGGUAACGGCUUACCAAGGCAACGAUACAUAGCCGACCUGAGAGGGUGAUCGGCCACACUGGAACUGAGACACGGUCCAGACUCCUACGGGAGGCAGCAGUAGGGAAUCUUCCGCAAUGGGCGAAAGCCUGACGGAGCAACGCCGCGUGAGUGAUGAAGGUCUUCGGAUCGUAAAACUCUGUUAUUAGGGAAGAACAUAUGUGUAAGUAACUGUGCACAUCUUGACGGUACCUAAUCAGAAAGCCACGGCUAGCUACGUG